GCAGUGUUUAAAUUGCUUUUCUUUAAUCAAUUCGCACAUAUUUGUUGGGACAUUUAGCAAAAUGGGAAAUGGUAGAGUUGCCCGGUUUUGCCGAGCUCUAAGCUUGGAAGCAGAGCCGGCUACCGCGUUCAGGUUUCACGAGAAGCCCAGACUCAGGGUGAAUCCUGAAGGUUGAUCCAUCAUAUAAGCUUCCUCCAUCUCCCUCUGUGCAGGGCUGACUGGAGAAACGCUUAAAUAAGAAGAAAGCUGCAAGGUGGGGGCGGGAGCAUGUACAGCUGUGGGUCAUUAGCAAUAAUCACGGCCCGCCGGCAGGAGAGGAAGCCGAGCGUGGGGACAAGGGAGAGGCUUGGUCACCAGGAUAAAGAACACAGUGUAAAAGCCACAGGAUGAGGACUCAGCACAGAGGAAAUGGUGGGGCCUACUGACGGCGGACCGAGGAGAGUGAUGGUUAAAGUCGAGGUCUGCAGGCCGAUGGAAGUUUCAGAGGAGGCCAAGGAGGACUCAUCAGUACAGCUGUUCUCCGCUCCUGCGAUUGUGCCUCGCUGUGCGCCGGAACAGGAGUGCGCGGUGGAGGGGGUUUCAACUGACACUGAGAGGAAACGGUCCCUUCUUGUUUCUCCAGGGCAACUCCAACAUCUCAGAUGAAGCGCAGGUACUUCUGACUUUGGUUUUAACCCUAUCAAAGAAGUGUAUUUCAGGGGAAAACAAGGCUUUACACAAGUCUAUGCUUUCCAGCUUGACUCAUCUGAGUGCGGGCAGAUCCCUGCCUGAUGAGGUAACGUGGGCAACAGAAAAAUCCACGUGGCCGUCAUCACUCCGCCGGUGAGCAGUGAGAGGGCUCGACGGGCGGGCUCGACGGGCAGCCUCGCACUGGGAGAGGCUUCAACACUGGGAACCCUGUCACAAAGAGCCUGGGGGAGCUCCAGCCCAUCCUGCCGGCCCAAACUUGACUUCACCGGCGAGGCACUGCUACCGCCCUCAAAACUGCAGCAGAGAGCAAAGGAGUUUAUGGUGCGCUGGCAAGACAGGAUUACUGACAUCCAGCACCACCCCUUACCAGCAGAGUACAGGAACUAUCUGCAUUCUCUGUGAAUUAUAACGGCCCACAGGCAGAUGAGAAUUAUCUAAUUUUUUUAUCGAAGUAUACUUGAUUUACAAGGAUUUACACAAACAUACACGUGUGUGUAUGUACAUAUUUCUUUUUCAGAUUCUUUUCCAUUAUAAGUUAUUGUAAGAUAUUGAAUAUAGUUCUCUGUAUUAUGCACAGGAGGCCCUUGUUGUAUGUUACAGUAGUGGUGUGUAUCUGUUCAUCCCAGACGACUAAUUUACCUCUCCCCUCCCCUCUGCCCUCUCCCCUGGUAACUGCAAGUUCCUUCUCUAAGCCUGUGAGUCUGUUUCUACUUUGUAAAUAAGUUCAUUUCUAUCCUUUUCUUUUAAAUUCUGCAAGUAAGUGAUAUCAUGAUACAUCCCUGUCUGACUUAGUUCACUCGAUAUGAUAAUCCGUAGGUUCAUCCAUAUUGCCACAGAUGCCAUUCUUUUUUAUGGCUGAAAAGAAAGAAAGUGAAAGUGAAGUUGCUCAGUCGUGUCUAACUCUUUGCAACCCCAUGGACUGUAGCCCACCAGGCUGCUCUGUCCAUGGAAUUUC
Bos indicus x Bos taurus (hybrid cattle) is the source of this 1645-nucleotide long non-coding RNA. The record is from Ensembl. Lineage: Eukaryota; Metazoa; Chordata; Mammalia; Artiodactyla; Bovidae.